Long non-coding RNA from Vigna angularis (adzuki bean), 5082 nucleotides. RefSeq lists it as uncharacterized. The record is from RefSeq and is a predicted model, not a curated record. Lineage: Eukaryota; Viridiplantae; Streptophyta; Magnoliopsida; Fabales; Fabaceae. The transcript is spliced from 4 exons.
AACCAACGAGGGAUGCGUAUGCAAAUGCGAGCUUCUCUUCUCUCCAAGCUCCGUUGCCGUUCCCUCUUCGUAGCUGCAAUUGUCAAACUCUUCACCACCAGGAAGAGGUAACAGCAGCCCACACUGCGUCGUUAACCGUUUUCCCCGCGCUUCCUUCUUUUUUCGCAUCGUUUUGCUACUAUAUCUAUAGUUAACACAGCUUCGAUUUUUUUUCUCAGCGUUGCCAACGCGCUUCUGUCUGUUAGGGUUUGGGUUUUGGAAGAGCAUGGUGAGGGUUCGGGUGAGUAACACGGAAGAAUUUUCCGUAGCGGAGAAAGGUGGUUACAGUGAUUCACAGUUUGUUAGUCACUUCAAAGGUGUAGUUGUUGCAGUCACAACGGAUGAGUUCUGUUGCUUAUCUUGCUAGUUAUCUGUGUCGUGCUAAGUUCCUUCCCGCUGCAUUGGUCACUACGAUCAUUCACAGCUUGGUUGAUUGGUGCUAUGCUUAUUGCAAAUUACGUGAUUUUGAUAUGAACCCACGAGCACAUCAAGUUUUUUAUUCAGGUUGCCAGGUGAGUCUUAUCACAUUUGACCUUUUGUUGGGAGGGCUGUAAAGGUGAUGCCUUUUCAUGUUAUAGCCACUAUCAUUUUCUUCCAAGUAUUCUUAACUUGCUCAUUAUGUCUUUUUUGGUGUAGCAGGCCAUUAUGUAUAUUCUGUGUUUUCGCUUUAGAUCUUCAAUGGACAUUCGUAGGCUUAAAUUGCAACUACUUAAUAUACCCAUGGAUAAAAUCUGGAAACAUAAAUUGAGUCCAUUAAAUGUGAGGGACUUGUUAGUUUUCAUGCUCAGGGUUUUUAAUGAUAAAUGUCGGGUUUUGUGUAUAAAAUGAUCAGGAAAAACUUAAUCUCUUUUUGGUAAAUUUCUCUAUAUACAUUUGUACAAGUAGUGAUGGAAUACCCCUAGUUAUGGCCCAAACAUUUUCAAGAAGCUAGAAUCAUCUAUGCAAGGUGAAGCAAGCUCUUUCUCAUAAGUCAUCAUGGAGGUUAAAGAAUAAUGUAGGUUUAUUUAGGCCUUGUAUUAGCCAUGUAGGGUAUGUUUGAUAAGGCUUGUAUUAAGGCCUAAGUAGCAUAGGAUUUUUCCUAAGUUAGAUAUCUAAAGCAAGUGUAAAGUGUGUCAUGCUUCCAUUGGAGAGGAUUUGCUUUUUAAAAGGUAACCACAUGGCACCCUAGGAGUGGAGAUGAUUUCUUUUUGGUAGUGGCUACAUUUCCUUCCACUAUUGGAGAGAAUUUACUUUUAGUAGUGGCCACAUGGCACUCUAAGGAUGGAGAGGAUUGUUUUGUGAGUGACCACAUGUCCUCCCAUCAUUGGAGAGGGUAGAAGGCCUGAAUUUUGGCCAUUGAGAGCAAAUCUUGGAGACACCCUUGGCCUAUAUAUAGAGGUGUCUCCAUCCUUGUAUUUCAUCUUGGAAAUUAGUAAUGUUAUGUUGCCAAGUUGUAGCCUCAUUCAGUAUUGAUCAAGGAAGAAUGAGCUACAAUUUGGUUGCAUUACAUUACUAAUUUCCAAGAUGAAAUACAAGGGUGGAGACAACUCUAUUUAUAGGCUAAGAGUGUCUCCUUCUAUUCGUGAAAGCAUGAUUUCCACCUUUGCUCUCAUUGGCCAAAAAUGAGGCCUUCUAACCUCUCCAAUUAUGGGAGGACAUGUGGCCACUCACAAAAUACAAUCUUUUCCAUUCUUAGAGUGUCAUGUGGCCACUACCAAAAAGAAAUUCUCUCCACUUCUAGGAUGCCAUGUACCUUUUAAAAAGCAAAUCCUCUCCAAUGGAAGCAUGACACACACUUUCCACUUGGUUUGGAUAUCUAACUUAGGAAAAUCCUAUGCUACUUAGGCCUUAAUCAAACUACAUGGUCAAAUACAAGGCCUAAAUAAACCUACAUUACUCUUCAUGAUGACCUAUGACAAAGAGUUUGCUUCACCUUGCAUAGAUGAUUCUAGCUUUUUCUUAAAAAUGCUUGGGCCAUGACUAGGGGUAUUCCAUCAUCCCCUCCCUCUUGAAAAUACUCUCCUUGAACCUUCAAACUACACACCAUCAUCAUCCUAUCACUAAAAUCCGUGAGUCUAUCACCACACAACCAUCAUUUGCACAUCAUAUCAGCCUUUUCCCAUCCAUUUCCGCAACCAUUUCUAUCAUAGGGACCAUUUCCUUGCUUCCUCCUAAGCUUUGGCCCAACCUAGCUCAAGGAGGUUGCCAUCAAGAAGAAAAUAAUGAAAUGACUAAUCUAAUAUGGUUGAUAUUAGGGGUGAACAAAAUUAACUGGAGAUGAACUGAACUAUUUUUUGUUCCAUCAAAUUACACUAAAUUAUAAUAUAAACUGAACUGCACUGUAACUAUACUAAUUUUGAUGUGAACUAGUUUAUAUAACAAGAAUUCAUACCAACCUUAAAUUUUCUGCUGCAUUCUUUUAGUUUUCCUUUUAUUUUUCAAUUUUUAACAAAUAUAAUUUUAGCUUUUAUCUGAAAUUAUUGAAUUCCAACAAAACAUGUUAAUAGAAAUAUCAUUCUUAGGUAUUACAGAGGAUAUAAUUCUUAAGACUAUAAAAUCAUAUUAGGGAACAAAACUAGCCCGAGAUUUUUAGAACUACUAUGGUUCCGUAUUAAAGGGAGAAUGUAUCUAUAUGCAUUGUUGUUCUCUUAUAUUAAGUUUGACUGUGAAGAGAGCUUAAAAGAGAUCAAAGAUUCAAUUUCAAAAAUUAGGAGUGCAAUUAAAUAUGUGAAAUCUUCUCCAACAAAUUUGCUAGAUUCAAGGUAUGUAUUGAGCAAGAAAAAAAUUUCUUAUAAAGAUAUUGUUUGUCUUAAUAUUGAAACUAGUUGGAAUUCAACUUAUUUAAUGUUAAAGACAAGCUUGAAGUACAAAGAUGUCUUGCUAGAUAUGCAAGAUAAGAAAUUUGGUAUGAGAUGGACAAAAGUAAUGGUAGUUUUUCAUUAGAAGAGGAUUUGAAUAUGCGAGGGUUGUUCUAUCAUUUUUUAAAAUGUUUUAUGACUCUACUAUAUGCAUUUCUAGUUCUUCUUAUGUCAUGUGUAUAUGAAUGAAGUGUUUGGAAUUGGUAGAAAGAUUCAACAAUAUUAUGAGAGUAGUGAUGUGAGCAUAAGAUUAAUGGCAAUGAAGACGAAGGGUAAGUAUGAAAAAUAUUGUGAAAUCCUAAUGGAAUUAAUAUCUUAUUAUUAAUUGUUGUUGACUUUAGUCCUGAGUAAGUUGGAUUUUGUUAAUUACUUCAUUGAAUAUAUAUUUGAAUCUAGUAUUUCCAGUGAAUUGAAAUCAAAAUUAUUAUUAUCUUUAAAAACACUUUAUAUCAAGGUGUUUGACAAGAGUUCUCAAAAUAGCCAAUAAGAAUCCCAACUAGAUGAUGAUUCUCAUGCAAUGAGUUUCUACCUAAGAACUAUAGGACAUAUAUUUGAUUAUAUAUCAGAGCUUGAUUAAUAUUUGAGAGAUGAUCCUGAAUCUUAUUCAAAGUCGUUUGAGCUUGAUACUUUACAUUUGUGGAAAGUAAACUAUCAUUCAAUACAAGAGGAAGGGUGGUUAGCCCUUAUUUGUACACAAGAUUGUUUGAAAGGAAAACCUUUCUCUAUAUUUUUUUUAUGAGGAUCCCAAAUAAGAUAAAUUUGAAAGGUGAAUUUAUAUAUUUUAAGCUUUCAAAAAUGAUAAAAUAUUUUAAGUUUUACUUUGUAAUAUUAUAUUCAAGAAUUAUAUUCUCAUUAACAUGUUUUUGUUGGAAUUCAAUAAUUUAAGAUAAAAGUUAAAAUUAUUGUUGUUAAAAAUUAAAAAUAAAAGGAAAGUUAGAAGAAUGUAGUGAGAAAUUUCAGGUUGGUCUGAAUUAUUAUUAUCCUAGUUCAAUUUAAAAUUGGUGCAGUUCAAUAGGAUUUGGGAAAACAAGAAAUAGACGAACUAUUUAUUGAUUCAGUACAAGUUUUAACAAUUCAAUUUAGUUAAUUUUGUCCACUCCUAGUCUCGGUUGUUAAUAAAUUACACAAUGUUAUUAGCUCACCUACAAUCCAUGAAGGAUUUUAAUAUUUACUAUAAGAUCUUUUUCAAAAGUAAUUUACCUGUCCCUUCAUGUGGAAUACAAAAGCUGAGACAACGGAAAAAGGAACACCCAAAAUAUAAUAAGAUCCUUGAUUGAUAAAUGCACCAAGUUUCUGCCAAGCACAUCCUCUGGCAACACCUCAAUGAACAGAAACAUAAAAAAAGAAACGGUUCAUAAGUUAACUGCACUCAAAAUAUAAAAAGUUCAGUUUAAACUGAACUGUAAAAUAAUAUAAUUAGUUUUUUGGUUAAAAAUAAUUUAGUUUUUUGGUUAAAAAUAAGAUAACUAUAGUUUACUACAAUUUGUUGAAUUAUGUCCAGCCCUAGUUGACAUACAUUGCGCUUCCUGUCUUAAAUAAAACUUUGAAGAUUGAUAUGAAUUUAUCUAGUAGGUGUGUUUGCCUACUGUAGUAGUUGAAUUUCUCAACUUUUCAUGGCAUCGGAAUCAUUUGUUUUCAGUGACGUGCUGGAGUCUGAUCUUUCCAAGGCUUAUGGCAGGAUGGAUAGACUCUAACAUGUUCUUUCCGUUUGAUCCAUGUUUAUUGAAGAAAAGUGAAAGGUUGGUUUUAUUCACCUGAAUUUAUCUGAUUUGAUCUUAACAGUUUCUCUAGUUAAUUAUUAUGCUUAUGCUACAUAAGACCACAUUUUGUUGGCUGGUCCAAAGUCAGAAGAACUACAUACGAUGAUGACAUUGACGAAGUAAGUGACAUUGGUAGUGAAGUAUCAGAUGAUGAUUUUGUUGGCAUGAAUACAGAAGAUUGAUGAUGAUAUGAUGGUCACUGUUGAAUAUCUUGAUUUCAACCCUCACCUCAUCAAAAAUGGCCAUCACAGUAGAGUUGGUUGGUAUUUGGGGUUGUUUUGCAAUUUUGGAGUUGAGUCCAAUUCAAUAAGGGAGUUACUUCAAAGGAAAAAAAAGAAGUUAGAAUUAUAACCGUUCUCUGAAAUAAUUCGUCACAGUAGAGCAUGGUAAAAAGAUAUGGAUUGGUAUAUAUAAUCAUUUUUGUAUAUAUCUAGUUGUUUUAAAGU